ACGACAUCUGAGAUUCUCUGGCAACUUCUAGGGUGGCAGGUACCUUGAAGAAGAAGAUUCAAUCAGUAUCAAAUUCAGAGAAGGAAAGGAAUGAGGAUAUAACUGACCUGUUCAAUGUUAUUUUUACUUUCAAAACGUGUACGUGUUUUCAAGUGCUGACAGAGUCGAAGAUCAUAGCUCUCCCUGAAAUAAAAGUAUGUCUUGAACAAGAUUCCAAAUGUAUUCCAAACUGUAUAGAUAUCCUAAUGGUUAAUACAUUGUAAAUACAAGAUUGCCACAUCAAGCAGUGAUCAUACCCAUGAUGUAAAUUAUACAACGACGUUUGCAUAAUACAUUGCGUGUAAGGAUGUGACCAUUUAUAGCCAUCUGCUUGCAGCCUCUCUAGUUGCAGUCUCAAUUGCUCCAGUUCGUUGAUGUCAAAGUUAUAUCUGUAAACAGAGAAAUGUCAGUAACAAAAUAGUGAGGAGCUUGCUUUCACGAAGUGGAAAUGCACGGUUCUCAUAAAACAACUCUAAGUAGUAUAGUCAUUUUAUGAUCAGACAGUAAAAGAGAAGAGUGCUUGUAUUGGAUGUCAUCAAUUAUUACUCUGUACUACUAAACUUGAGCAUGCAUGGUAUCUUUUAUUCAAAGAGUUUAUUUGUAUCCACCGAUACUUACUGAUAAUAGUCAUCCUCGGUUAAAUCGGUAUACACAGCAUGUUUCCGUUCGAGGAUCGCAGAGGUUCUUACUGAACAGACAUCCUGAAACAUACAUCAAAAGAAUUAGAAUCUUUUUGGAAAACGCAUGACAUCUGAAGAUAAAAAGCUCGUUUAAAAAGACCGCCACGAAUUGUGAUCAACAAAUAAAGGAGCAGAUAACAUAUCAGCGGAUUAAUUCAAUUAUAUGUGAAUAGUUCAACACGUCACUGAUAGGUGACGCCGAUGAAACUUUUUACAAAAAUGACGUCGGACAAAACUUGGCGGAUUAUUUAAAACAUUUAUAAAAAUAUCGAAUAGUAUUAUAAUUAUAGAAUAUUAUGUAUACCACACAAGCACAGAAAUCGUUUUCAUAUUUUUAAAUGUCUGCUCGAAUUUUAUCAAACAGCAAGUAAACUGAUCUACGAGCAAUAAGAUCUAAGGUCGAUCAGUAAAAAUCUAUAAUGUUAAUUGAUAAGGAAACGGAAGAGGGCAGUUGAAGAGAUAUACUUUUAGUGGUUGGAAUGUAGAUGGAAGCAGAUCCAAAGGGAGGAAGCAUUUGCAAAGGCGGCGGUCGCGUGGGAUGCACGGUUCGAUAGUCGUCGAAAGGUCGUGGGCGAAAAUCGAACACACUUCUCCCACCACUUUUUUCAUCGUUUAAUCCCAUCCACGAAGAAACAUCAAAUUUUCAAGGUCGCUACGAUAAAGACCUUUGAUCUGAAUGAAAGAACGAGACGAUUACGCUUUUCGACGAUGUGCUUAACAUUUUAAUGGACGUCAUUUUGUGGACUCUACAGCUCUUGCAGUUUUAUGGCUUUUCUUAUUUCUGUCGAGGGAAAAUCCUAGUGGUUCCUGAAUUCACCGUUGAUUAUAUUUAUUUUCUGAAGUUAUAUUCGAAUGUGUAAGUUCAACUUACCACGCAUUUUAUGCUUACGUCAUGUGCGUGACAAGGAAGAGUUACAUACAAUACAAAAUGAUUUAUCUUUGAACUAUAAUUAGUUAAUAUGAAUAAGUAGCAAUAAAAUAACACACCGCUUGAAAGUUUGAAAAGUUAUAAUGAAGAUGGAUUUGUUCAGAUCUUGAAAAUAAAUAAUAAAUAUAUAAUUCAUCGGGUUCUAGAGAUUAGCGUGCUAUCAAAGGAUGAAAUCUGCCGUUUGCAACGGGAAAGCGCAGGAAGCAAGGAAAUCGAUGGCAACUUUGAAUUUUCAUUGAAAGCCGCUCGACGGGAAAAGGGAUAUCGAAGAAGCGAUUGCCGUUUCGAGAGAAAUUGUACCGACGAUUUUUCAUUUCUUUUUUCUCUCUCGAUCAACGGGAACUUGUUUUUGCUACCAAAGGAAAUGGAUUGCAUGCACAAAAUGUUUAUACUCGACAUGAGCGGAUAGAAGUAUGAUGGACCUUUAGUAACACUCGCAAAGUAUUUUCUUUCACUGUUACAACUUCUGAAAAGAUAAUGGUUUAGCGAGUUUAUUCACGUUUUGAUCAAUAUGUACCAUAUUGUUUGAACUAUUUCGAGUGAAAGAAAAUUGAACACUCUUCAUUCAAUAUGCUGACU
Long non-coding RNA from Megachile rotundata (alfalfa leafcutting bee), 2226 nucleotides. Lineage: Eukaryota; Metazoa; Arthropoda; Insecta; Hymenoptera; Megachilidae. The record is from RefSeq and is a predicted model, not a curated record.